CCUGGGCCUGAUUCAAGUAAUCCAGGAUAGGUUUGUUCAGAAAGGUAAAGCCUAUUCUGCAUGACUUGGUUCAGGACUAUG
This 81-nucleotide microRNA precursor is filed under the name Oncorhynchus kisutch (coho salmon). RNAcentral's name for it is "mir-26 microRNA precursor family". It matches the Rfam family "mir-26 microRNA precursor family". From Rfam's summary of the family: The hairpin precursors (represented here) are predicted based on base pairing and cross-species conservation -- their extents are not known. In this case the mature sequence is excised from the 5' arm of the hairpin. RNAcentral also lists the same sequence under 4 other names. Lineage: Eukaryota; Metazoa; Chordata; Actinopteri; Salmoniformes; Salmonidae. The record is from Rfam by way of RNAcentral.